Molecule: unclassified non-coding RNA, 256 nt
Filed under: plant metagenome
Description: partial contains small subunit ribosomal RNA, internal transcribed spacer 1, and 5.8S ribosomal RNA
Rfam family: Eukaryotic small subunit ribosomal RNA (bases 1-54)
Source: RNAcentral
GGAAGUGAAAGUCGUAACAAGGUUUCCGUAGGUGAACCUGCGGAAGGAUCAUUAAAGUUAUAGUCCCCCGGCCCUCUGGGCUGGGGUCUUCUAUACCACCCUUUGUUUAUUACACCUUUGUUGCUUUGGCAGGCCUGCCCUCGGGCUGCUGGCUCCGGCCGGCUCGCGUCUGCCAGAGGACCUAAACUCUGUUUGUAUAUGAAGUCUGAGUACUAUAUAAUAGUUAAAACUUUCAACAACGGAUCUCUUGGUUCUG